This is a long non-coding RNA of Drosophila persimilis, 949 nucleotides long. RefSeq lists it as uncharacterized. The record is from RefSeq and is a predicted model, not a curated record. The transcript is spliced from 3 exons. Lineage: Eukaryota; Metazoa; Arthropoda; Insecta; Diptera; Drosophilidae.
AUUCACGGAGCUAGUGCUAGGGCCUGGGCUAAAGGAGGAUGGAGGAAGCCAAGCCGCCACUUCCACCCGACGAGGCAAUCAGUCGUGUGACUCUGUGCAGACGUGGGUGCAUGUCGUCCGGGAGAAGUUCGCAAGGUUCUGAAAACGGCCAGCCUUUUGAGGAGUUCAGCGUAGGAUGUUGGUCAAUGGCGAGAUGUUUGCUCCUCCGUGGAGCAGCGAAGCUCCAGGUCCACAGGUAGCUGCUUCUUACGGCCGUGAAUUGCAGAUCGAAGUGGAACGCACGGCGGACUCAGACUCGAAGAUCCACCUUAGCUCACUUCGCACCUUUAUGACGGAUAGGACACAUAAAAGUGGUGAGUGGUGCCGCAUCUGGAGGUUUGUGCUGGGGGCGCCUGUCAUUACAAGGCAGUUCGAGCGGAUUGCUCUUUCCUUGAGAAGUCUCUCUUAUUGGAAUCGAUUUCGCACCGGACCGUCUGAGAGAAGGGGGAUCAGAGUGUGGAUCGAUUGCAGGGUUCCUCAGCCCCGACAUUGUGGAGGAGAAGUUACAGCUCGAGCAGGAGCACAGAUGAUUCGCUCGAUUUGCUGGUCGAUCUGUUGAUAUUGUGCCUAGUACUACGAUGCGACUAAACCAGUGGGAUCGUCUGUACUCUGCACUCUGUAAAACUUCACUCGAUGAGAUCUCAAGGGCCCUUGUGGUGCCUUGUGGUGACAUACCUCCAGCACUGGUCUCCAGACAUCUCUGCCAACGUCUCUUUGCGCUGAGAUCUGCAGUUCAGCUUUCGCGUCUGCCCGGGGUUCGACGCAAGAUUGCUUGACUUGGGACUUGGGAACACUCAUCGCGAGAGAGUGUACCCAGGGACGGCCCUCGCCUUCGACUACUGGCUCUUGUUGCUUCAGAUCCAGUUUCAAAGGGAUAGAAAAAUAAAAUUAAAUGCAUUUAUAUACAAAA